AUUGAACGCUGGCGGCAUGCCUUACACAUGCAAGUCGAACGGCAGCACGGGAGCAAUCCUGGUGGCGAGUGGCGAACGGGUGAGUAAUAUAUCGGAACGUGCCCAGUCGUGGGGGAUAACGCAGCGAAAGCUGUGCUAAUACCGCAUACGAUCUAAGGAUGAAAGCGGGGGAUCGCAAGACCUCGCGCGAUUGGAGCGGCCGAUAUCAGAUUAGCUAGUUGGUGGGGUAAAGGCCCACCAAGGCGACGAUCUGUAGCUGGUCUGAGAGGACGACCAGCCACACUGGAACUGAGACACGGUCCAGACUCCUACGGGAGGCAGCAGUGGGGAAUUUUGGACAAUGGGCGCAAGCCUGAUCCAGCAAUGCCGCGUGCAGGAUGAAGGCCUUCGGGUUGUAAACUGCUUUUGUACGGAACGAAACGGCCCUUUCUAAUACAGGGGGCUAAUGACGGUACCGGAAGAAUAAGGACCGGCUAACUACGUGCCAGCCGCCGCGGUAA
This 500-nucleotide ribosomal RNA is filed under the name uncultured bacterium. Its description in RNAcentral is "partial 16S ribosomal RNA". It matches the Rfam family "Bacterial small subunit ribosomal RNA", at positions 29 to 523 of the family's 1533-position model. The record is from RNAcentral.